Molecule: ribosomal RNA, 268 nt
Filed under: Staphylococcus aureus
Lineage: Bacteria; Bacillati; Bacillota; Bacilli; Caryophanales; Staphylococcaceae
Description: partial 23S ribosomal RNA
Rfam family: Bacterial large subunit ribosomal RNA
Source: RNAcentral
CGCAGUAGGAUAGGCGAAGCGUGCGAUUGGAUUGCACGUCUAAGCAGUAAGGCUGAGUAUUAGGCAAAUCCGGUACUCGUUAAGGCUGAGCUGUGAUGGGGAGAAGACAUUGUGUCUUCGAGUCGUUGAUUUCACACUGCCGAGAAAAGCCUCUAGAUAGAAAAUAGGUGCCCGUACCGCAAACCGACACAGGUAGUCAAGAUGAGAAUUCUAAGGUGAGCGAGCGAACUCUCGUUAAGGAACUCGGCAAAAUGACCCCGUAACUUCG